Molecule: ribosomal RNA, 114 nt
Filed under: Sphenodon punctatus (tuatara)
Lineage: Eukaryota; Metazoa; Chordata; Lepidosauria; Sphenodontia; Sphenodontidae
Source: RNAcentral
GCCUGGGGCUGGCCGUGGCUAUCCUGAACACAUUUGAUCUCCAAAGUUAAGCAAGGUCAGGCCUCGUUAGUAUUUGGAUGGGAGACUGCCUGGGAAUACCGGGUGCUGUAGGCU